GGAUGUUAUGCAAAAUAUAUAAAGAACUCUUACAUUUCAAUAAGAAAACAACCUAUGAUUGGGCUGAUCUGGCUGGCUAGGCGGGUGUCCUCUUCCUCCCUCACCGCUCCAUGUGCGUCCCUCCCGAAACUGCGUGGUUAGUCGAAGAGGACGACCUUCCCCGACAGAGGAGGACCGUUCUUUGGUCAAGGGUAUACGAGUAGCUACGCUCCCCUGCUAGAACCUCCAAACAAGCUCUCAAGAAAACAACCCAAUUAAAAAGUAGGCUCUUCUCCUGGAGAGAGCUGGAACCCAUUAUAUUAAGUGAAGUAUCCAAAGAAUGGAAAAACAAGCAUCACAUGUACUU
RNAcentral lists this small nuclear RNA (346 nucleotides) under Prolemur simus (greater bamboo lemur). RNAcentral describes it as "7SK RNA (ENSPSMG00000012155.1)". It matches the Rfam family "7SK RNA", at positions 51 to 331 of the family's 331-position model. From Rfam's summary of the family: 7SK was discovered as an abundant small nuclear RNA in the mid-70s but a possible function has only recently been suggested. Two independent studies have found that 7SK RNA binds the CDK9/cyclin T complex (known as elongation factor P-TEFb). P-TEFb activates transcription by phosphorylating the C-terminal domain of RNA polymerase II. The record is from Rfam by way of RNAcentral. Lineage: Eukaryota; Metazoa; Chordata; Mammalia; Primates; Lemuridae.